This 172-nucleotide non-coding RNA is filed under the name Burkholderia sp. RNAcentral describes it as "Glycine sequence". It matches the Rfam family "Glycine riboswitch aptamer". Rfam says of the family: This family represents the bacterial glycine riboswitch. Lineage: Bacteria; Pseudomonadati; Pseudomonadota; Betaproteobacteria; Burkholderiales; Burkholderiaceae. The record is from RNAcentral.
UUUUCGCACUCUGGAGAGCGGCAGUAGCCGUCUGCGUCGUGUAUGCGCCGUAUACAUCGAGCAGAUUCUGGCAAGCUGCCCACCGAAGGGGCGCGCGCUUAACCGUAGCGAUGGUGGCUUCAACAUCGUACGGCAGCGCAAUCUCUCAGGUAUCGAGGACAGAGGGGUCAUG